This 558-nucleotide long non-coding RNA is filed under the name Apteryx owenii (little spotted kiwi). RNAcentral's name for it is "lncRNA (ENSAOWG00000001034.1)". Lineage: Eukaryota; Metazoa; Chordata; Aves; Apterygiformes; Apterygidae. The record is from RNAcentral.
AUGAGCAAAAAGGAUGGAGUCCUCAUCCGUCUGCAGUUAAUGGGAAUUUUGUCCGUAAACCAGGUUUUUAAUCUAAAUACCCAUCCAACUGCCCAGUUACUGUGGAGGCCACGUCCUGGAUCUGGUGGCGGCAUGAGUCAGGAUGGACUCGGGAGCCUCAGCUUGCCAGCGGAUGGAUUGCUAUUUUGCUACCUAUGGGGCAGUUUUUAAAGAGAGGAGCUGUAUCCCCAGCGGAGAUCAUAAGGCACUCAAACUUUGCCUACGGGGAAAAUCCUCAACUUCAAUGCACACGACCCAUUUUCUUGACAUUGAGGUCAGUUUUCUGAUUUCAUCAUGCCUUUAACAUGACUGAAGAAUGAAAGGUGAUUAGAAAAAAGGUAUCUCGCCAUUCUGUAAGUUCCUUUGUUAUUCUACAGGUACUAUCUGCAUCUCUUCUAAACUCCUUUACAUUGCGUUUAAAAUCAUCUUUGAAAGUAAAUGUUCAGAUAAUGUCUUUAUUAGGAUUUUAAACUUGAUGCAUGCGUGUGUGUGUGUGUGUGUGUGUGUACAUGCAUGCAG